This 426-nucleotide ribosomal RNA is filed under the name Vibrio alginolyticus. Its description in RNAcentral is "bacterial SSU rRNA". It matches the Rfam family "Bacterial small subunit ribosomal RNA", at positions 253 to 671 of the family's 1533-position model. The record is from RNAcentral. Lineage: Bacteria; Pseudomonadati; Pseudomonadota; Gammaproteobacteria; Vibrionales; Vibrionaceae.
UGAGGUAAGGGCUCACCAAGGCGACGAUCCCUAGCUGGUCUGAGAGGAUGAUCAGCCACACUGGAACUGAGACACGGUCCAGACUCCUACGGGAGGCAGCAGUGGGGAAUAUUGCACAAUGGGCGCAAGCCUGAUGCAGCCAUGCCGCGUGUGUGAAGAAGGCCUUCGGGUUGUAAAGCACUUUCAGUCGUGAGGAAGGUAGUGUNGUUAAUAGCUGCAUUAUUUGACGUUAGCGACAGAAGAAGCACCGGCUAACUCCGUGCCAGCAGCCGCGGUAAUACGGAGGGUGCGAGCGUUAAUCGGAAUUACUGGGCGUAAAGCGCAUGCAGGUGGUUUGUUAAGUCAGAUGUGAAAGCCCGGGGCUCAACCUCGGAAUAGCAUUUGAAACUGGCAGACUAGAGUACUGUAGAGGGGGGUAGAAUUUCA